UACGAAGGGGGCUAGCGUUGUUCGGAAUCACUGGGCGUAAAGCGCUCGUAGGCGGAUCUUUAAGUCAGGGGUGAAAUCCCGAGGCUCAACCUCGGAACUGCCUUUGAUACUGGGGAUCUCGAGUCCGGGAGAGGUGAGUGGAACUGCGAGUGUAGAGGUGAAAUUCGUAGAUAUUCGCAAGAACACCAGUGGCGAAGGCGGCUCACUGGCCCGGUACUGACGCUGAGGAGCGAAAGCGUGGGGAGCAAACAGG
RNAcentral lists this ribosomal RNA (253 nucleotides) under uncultured bacterium. RNAcentral describes it as "partial 16S ribosomal RNA". It matches the Rfam family "Bacterial small subunit ribosomal RNA", at positions 524 to 776 of the family's 1533-position model. The record is from RNAcentral.